RNAcentral lists this ribosomal RNA (510 nucleotides) under uncultured bacterium. Its description in RNAcentral is "bacterial SSU rRNA". It matches the Rfam family "Bacterial small subunit ribosomal RNA", at positions 501 to 1009 of the family's 1533-position model. The record is from RNAcentral.
CUACGUGCCAGCAGCCGCGGUAAUACGUAGGUCCCGAGCGUUGUCCGGAUUUAUUGGGCGUAAAGCGAGCGCAGGCGGUUAGAUAAGUCUGAAGUUAAAGGCUGUGGCUUAACCAUAGUACGCUUUGGAAACUGUUUAACUUGAGUGCAAGAGGGGAGAGUGGAAUUCCAUGUGUAGCGGUGAAAUGCGUAGAUAUAUGGAGGAACACCGGUGGCGAAAGCGGCUCUCUGGCUUGUAACUGACGCUGAGGCUCGAAAGCGUGGGGAACAAACAGGAUUAGAUACCCUGGUAGUCCACGCCGUAAACGAUGAGUGCUAGGUGUUAGACCCUUUCCGGGGUUUAGUGCCGUAGCUAACGCAUUAAGCACUCCGCCUGGGGAGUACGACCGCAAGGUUGAAACUCAAAGGAAUUGACGGGGGCCCGCACAAGCGGUGGAGCAUGUGGUUUAAUUCGAAGCAACGCGAAGAACCUUACCAGGUCUUGACAUCCCUCUGACCGCUCUAGAGAUAG